UACAUAGGGGGCAAGCGUUAUCCGGAAUUAUUGGGUGUAAAGGGUGCGUAGACGGGUGUUUAAGUUGGUUGUGAAAUCCCUCGGCUCAACUGAGGAACUGCAACCAAAACUGGAUAUCUUGAGUGUCGGAGAGGAAAGUGGAAUUCCUAGUGUAGCGGUGAAAUGCGUAGAUAUUAGGAGGAACACCAGUGGCGAAGGCGACUUUCUGGACGAUAACUGACGUUGAGGCACGAAAGUGUGGGGAGCAAACA
This 251-nucleotide ribosomal RNA is filed under the name uncultured bacterium. Its description in RNAcentral is "partial 16S ribosomal RNA". It matches the Rfam family "Bacterial small subunit ribosomal RNA", at positions 524 to 774 of the family's 1533-position model. The record is from RNAcentral.